ACGGAGGAUGCGAGCGUUAUCCGGAUUUAUUGGGUUUAAAGGGAGCGCAGACGGGUCGUUAAGUCAGCUGUGAAAGUUUGGGGCUCAACCUUAAAAUUGCAGUUGAUACUGGCGUCCUUGAGUGCGGUUGAGGUGUGCGGAAUUCGUGGUGUAGCGGUGAAAUGCUUAGAUAUCACGAAGAACUCCGAUUGCGAAGGCAGCACACUAAUCCGUAACUGACGUUCAUGCUCGAAAGUGUGGGUAUCAAACAG
Molecule: ribosomal RNA, 251 nt
Filed under: uncultured bacterium
Lineage: Bacteria
Description: partial 16S ribosomal RNA
Rfam family: Bacterial small subunit ribosomal RNA
Source: RNAcentral